GACGAACGCUGGCGGCGUGCUUAACACAUGCAAGUCGAACGGAAAGGCCCUGCUUUUGUGGGGUGCUCGAGUGGCGAACGGGUGAGUAACACGUGAGUAACCUGCCCUUGACUUUGGGAUAACUACAGGAAACUGGGGCUAAUACCGGAUAGGAGCUCCUGCUGCAUGGUGGGGGUUGGAAAGUUUCGGCGGUUGGGGAUGGACUCGCGGCUUAUCAGCUUGUUGGUGGGGUAGUGGCUUACCAAGGCUUUGACGGGUAGCCGGCCUGAGAGGGUGACCGGCGACAUUGGGACUGGGAUACGGCCCAGACUCCUACGGGAGGCAGCAGGGGGGAAUAUUGCCCAAUGGGCGGAAGCCUGAUGCAGCAACGCCGCGUGCGGGAGGACGGCCUGCGGGUUGGAAACCGCUUUCGCCUGUGACGAAGCGUGAGUGACGGUAAUGGGUAAAGAAGCACCGGCUAACUACUUG
This 468-nucleotide ribosomal RNA is filed under the name uncultured bacterium. RNAcentral describes it as "partial 16S ribosomal RNA". It matches the Rfam family "Bacterial small subunit ribosomal RNA", at positions 28 to 507 of the family's 1533-position model. The record is from RNAcentral.